This 440-nucleotide ribosomal RNA is filed under the name uncultured bacterium. RNAcentral's name for it is "partial 16S ribosomal RNA". It matches the Rfam family "Bacterial small subunit ribosomal RNA", at positions 338 to 795 of the family's 1533-position model. The record is from RNAcentral.
CCUACGGGUAGCUGCAGUAGGGAAUAUUGCUCAAUGGGGGAAACCCUGAAGCAGCAACGCCGCGUGGAGGAUGAAGGUUUUCGGAUUGUAAACUCCUUUUGUUAGAGAAGAUAAUGACGGUAUCUAACGAAUAAGCACCCGCUACCUCCUUGCCAGCAGCCGCGGUAAUACGGCGGGUGCAAGCGUUACUCGGAAUCACUGGGCGUAAAGAGCGCGGAGGCGGGAUAGCAAGUCAGAUGUGAAAACCUAUGGCGUAACCAUAGAACUGCAUUUGAAGCUGUUAUUCUAGAGUAUGGGAGAGGUAGGUGGAAUUCUUGGUGUAGGGGUAAAAUCCGUAGAGAGCAAGAGGAAUACUCAUUGCGAAGGCGACCUGCUAGAACAUAACUGACGCUGAUGCGCGAAAGCGUGGGGAGCAAACAGGAUUAGAUACCCGUGUAGUC